RNAcentral lists this ribosomal RNA (492 nucleotides) under uncultured bacterium. RNAcentral describes it as "partial 16S ribosomal RNA". It matches the Rfam family "Bacterial small subunit ribosomal RNA", at positions 29 to 507 of the family's 1533-position model. The record is from RNAcentral.
AGUGAACGCUGGCGGUAGGCCUAGCACAUGCAAGUCGAACGGCAGCACAGUAAGAGCUUGCUCUUACGGGUGGCGAGUGGCGGACGGGUGAGGAAUACAUCGGAAUCUACUUUUUCGUGGGGGAUAACGUAGGGAAACUUACGCUAAUACCGCAUACGACCUACGGGUGAAAGCAGGGGAUCUUCGGACCUUGCGCGAUUGAAUGAGCCGAUGUCGGAUUAGCUAGUUGGCGGGGUAAAGGCCCACCAAGGCGACGAUCCGUAGCUGGUCUGAGAGGAUGAUCAGCCACACUGGAACUGAGACACGGUCCAGACUCCUACGGGAGGCAGCAGUGGGGAAUAUUGGACAAUGGGCGCAAGCCUGAUCCAGCCAGACCGCGUGGGUGAAGAAGGCCUUCGGGUUGUAAAGCCCUUUUGUUGGGAAAGAAAAGCAGCAGGUUAAUACCCCGCUGUUCUGACGGUACCCAAAGAAUAAGCACCGGCUAACUUCGUG